RNAcentral lists this ribosomal RNA (253 nucleotides) under uncultured bacterium. RNAcentral describes it as "partial 16S ribosomal RNA". It matches the Rfam family "Bacterial small subunit ribosomal RNA", at positions 524 to 776 of the family's 1533-position model. The record is from RNAcentral.
UACGUAGGGGGCGAGCGUUGCCCGGAUUCACUGGGCGUAAAGCGCGUGUAGGCGGUCUGUUAAGUCGGAUGUGAAAUCUCCGGGCUCAACUCGGAAACUGCAUCCGAUACUGGCAGACUUGAGGAUGGUAGAGGUCGGUGGAAUACCAGGUGUACCGGUGAAAUGGGCAGAUAUCUGGUGGAACACCAGUGGCGAAGGCGGCCGACUGGGCCAAUCCUGACGCUGAGGAGCGAAAGCAUGGGGAGCGAACAGG